This 398-nucleotide ribosomal RNA is filed under the name uncultured bacterium. Its description in RNAcentral is "partial 16S ribosomal RNA". It matches the Rfam family "Bacterial small subunit ribosomal RNA", at positions 523 to 918 of the family's 1533-position model. The record is from RNAcentral.
AUACGUAGGGUGCGAGCGUUGUCCGGGAUUACUGGGCGUAAAGAGCUCGUAGGUGGUUUGUCGCGUCGUCUGUGAAAUUCCGGGGCUUAACUCCGGGCGUGCAGGCGAUACGGGCAUAACUUGAGUACUGUAGGGGAGACUGGAAUUCCUGGUGUAGCGGUGAAAUGCGCAGAUAUCAGGAGGAACACCGGUGGCGAAGGCGGGUCUCUGGGCAGUAACUGACGCUGAGGAGCGAAAGCAUGGGUAGCGAACAGGAUUAGAUACCCUGGUAGUCCAUGCCGUAAACGGUGGGCGCUAGGUGUAGGGGUCUUCCACGACUUCUGUGCCGUAGCUAACGCAUUAAGCGCCCCGCCUGGGGAGUACGGCCGCAAGGCUAAAACUCAAAGGAAUUGGCGGGG